AAAAUCAGCUCCUUGCCUGAGCCCAGGGCCUGCUGUGGUGUACCCCUCAUUCUCAGCCCACCCGUCUAUGCCAGUCCAGCCUCUCAUCCUGCCUGCCAGCCUCGGGGAGACUUGCUUCUUGUGCAAUUCCAGCAGGGUCUGAGGAAUCUGCAGGAAACAGUUUGCAAAAGCCAUUGCUUUGGGCCACACCUGUGAGGAGCAGUAGAGCCCGCUGGGUCUCCUGACCAACCAGCACGAUCUGCUUGAAGGUCAUUGAGUGGUGGAAUGUCAUCUUGAAGACCCGCUGCCCACUAGACUGCAGAUAGACCUCAACACAGUCACAGGCCCGGCUGCUGGUGGUACCCACCACUUCCUGCGGCUCCCGAGUGGCCAAGACGUAGAGGGCCGGACUCCAGAACCCUGAUCUUGGAGGCGCGGACUGAGUCUGCGACAGAUGCGUCUCCACACGCCUUCCCCAUCGCACACUUCGUGGAAGUAGCGGCAGGACUCACCAGCUCUGGGGGGAACAACUGGAUGGAAAUCGGAUUUCCUUUCCCCCUCUUCUCUUCAACCCCAAGCUCCGAGCCACAAGAAGGGCAGCUUCUCUUCACCUACCCAAGAAGGGGUGCAUAGGGUCCCAUGAGGGUCCCACAUCCUUUUUUCCCUUCUCUCCGCCUACCUUGGGGCUCAUCUGACUCUAGCUGGGCACAGUUAUUUCCUCCCCUCUCUCUCCAGACCCAUCCCUAACUUCUCCAAAUAACUCCUCCCGAUCUCCUGCGGCCAAUCCCCCUCACCCGGAGCCCCUCCUCCCGUCCACACAGCCUGGUGAAUUUUUGCAGCUUCCGUCUCUGGCUUCCCCUGACCAUCCUGAUUGCCCCCUCCCUGCUCCUGCCCUCCUGUCUCCUAGGCCCUUGGCCCCCCCGUUCCUGCUGGCUUUCCCACACCAUGUCCCCAGCCUAGGCUUGGGGGACCUCUGAGGCCCCUCUGCCUCCUAGGCCCCUCCCCCAUGGAGUCUGGGGCUAACAAACCUCUCUGUGACCUCACUGUUUGGCCACUGUGACCUGUUCCCUUUAAUCUUGCCCAGGACCCAUCUCUUAGACAGCUCCUGGGUUCUAGCUCAGUUCUAGCCAUCACAUGGCUCAAGGGAUAUGCAUUUUACUGGAGAAAUAAAGUGUGAAUUACUGGUA
RNAcentral lists this long non-coding RNA (1166 nucleotides) under Homo sapiens (human). RNAcentral's name for it is "HSALNT0126425". The record is from RNAcentral. Lineage: Eukaryota; Metazoa; Chordata; Mammalia; Primates; Hominidae.